UCUAUAUUUUAAUGAUUUCUUAUGGAAAUUCUUAUUUUGAUUUGUGUUGUUUCAGUAUGUAUCACAUUUUUCAAGAACUUAUUUACAAUGCAAAGUGGGGUCUGCAUGUAUUUUCUAAAAAAUGGUUUUCUUAAAAAAUAUAGAAAAACCCCAACUUACAUAAGUGGAUCAUUCAAUCAAAUCCUAUGUAAACUGAAACAAAUGUAUAGUGGAGUAUAUCCUAUAUAGUGCUAAUAUAUCACAAAGAUGUAACAUUCUUUAAUGUAACUAUUUUUUAUAAGCAUGUAAGUUGCCAGAUGACCAUGUAGUAAAACAGUCACUUAUCAUCUUGAAGGAUCUAGAUUCAAUUCAGAAUACCAAACAUCCAUUUUUACAGAAUGGGUCUAGAUCUGUAUCUGGUUUAUUACCUAAAACUAACCUAAUAAGCAUAUAAAAGACAUAUACAUAUGAUAAAUGAUGAAAUUAAGAG
This 469-nucleotide long non-coding RNA is filed under the name Androctonus crassicauda. Lineage: Eukaryota; Metazoa; Arthropoda; Arachnida; Scorpiones; Buthidae. The record is from RNAcentral.